UAACCAGAAAAGUAACUAUUCCGCGUUUCCGCGAAUUGAGUCGUUUCUUUCCGCACAUUUGAGCGGAAUCCGCGGAAUCCGUUACCGUCUCAACAAAACUCAACAAAAGUGUAUAGAAAAUAUAAAAACUUUAUAAAUGGAUGGUCCUGAUCUCCCAAUUGCAUCUCCACAAGUAGAUUGUCGCUGUCACCUUGAAGAAGUCUUCUUGUCUCAGUAAAAAUAGGCCGUAUCCAUAUUUUACAGUUCUUUCUGCUUUGCAGUUUCUUGUAACGCAAAUAUAAAAUAUACAUUGAGAUAACCUUUUUCAUAGUUAUCUCUGCAUAUCUCAUCGGUUCAUCCCGUGCUUAUAUGAGAUACUUCAUAAUAAUCAUCAAUAUGAUAUUUGGAUCCAUUAUUAUACUGUUACUUUUAAAAUAAUAAAAUAAUCGAAAUAUAU
Long non-coding RNA from Formica exsecta, 436 nucleotides. RefSeq lists it as uncharacterized. The record is from RefSeq and is a predicted model, not a curated record. Lineage: Eukaryota; Metazoa; Arthropoda; Insecta; Hymenoptera; Formicidae. The transcript has 2 exons.